UCCUUUUCUUCUGCAGGUGAGUGUCCUCCUAAAGAGCCCCCAGUGGUGAAGCUCCUGAGCUACCCAACCCAAGAAGACCCUGAGAAGGUCCUGCUGGUGUGCCUCAUCGAGGGGCUGAAGGACAGCAACGCCCAGGUGGAGUGGCUGGUGAACCAGCAGGUCCAGCACCUGGAGGAGGACAACUACAGCUGCAGCGAGUGCUCCAACAAGAAGCCCACACAGUGGAGCCAGGUCAACGUCAGCCGGCAGAGCUGGGACCAGGGGGCCGAGUUCUCCUGCAGGGUGUCCCACGAGUCGCUCAAGGAGCCCAUCGUCAAGUCCAUCAGCACCUACUGCACAGGUUCCAAACCCGAGCUGGACGUCUCCAUCCUCCCCCCGUCCUUGGAGGACCUCUUCCUCAGCCAGAACGCCAGCAUCACCUGCGUGGUGACCAACGCCCCCAAAGACCUGAAGUUCUCCUGGGCCCGGAGCACCGGGACCUCCUUGGACGUGUCCACCGGGGAGCCCGAGAAGCAGGAAAACGGCCUCUACCGCCUCACCAGCGUCCUGAAGGUCUGCGCCGAGGAGUGGAACAGCGGGGAGACCUUCUCCUGCACCGUGUCCGGCCCGGAGCUCCAAGAAACCAUCACGAAGUCGGUGAAGAAAGACCUAGGUAGGAAGCCACCGGUCCUCUGCUGCCCCACUC
Non-coding RNA from Oxyura jamaicensis (ruddy duck), 685 nucleotides. NCBI's taxonomy places the organism in Eukaryota, Metazoa, Chordata, Aves, Anseriformes, Anatidae. The record is from the annotation of a RefSeq genome assembly.